AUGUCACCACCGUUAGGCAACACCAACUGCCAUUUAGGGCAUUUGCACAGUGCCUCUGGGAUUCACAAAGACAUGUUGGUGAGACUGAGAAAGCUACUUGGGAAAGAGAAUAGAGUCUAGAGAAGAGAGAGAGGCAGGAGGAAGCUGACCUUCUGUCUCAGGGGACUACUGCAAAGGCAUCGUCCCAACUCUCCCCUCACUAAGCAGGAUCUGGAAAUGAACAAGGUGGAGAAACUGACCAUUCAGCUACAGAUGAUGACCUGUUAGAGGAAUGAACUGCUUGGAGUCCUGGACCAUUAUACCAACAAUAACUUGAAAAGCAGGAGUACUGAGUCAACAGACCCAUGGAUCUGAUGGGGGCUGGAUCACCUGGAGGUCAAUUGGUGUUUGUCUCCCUGGAAACAGAUGCACACUGGAGAGAGCCUGUAAUCAGCAGGAGUGUGCUGCAUGCACAUCUACCCAAAGCAAUGUCUGAGGGUCCUCAUUUCUGCCAACCUUCCUUGAGGCUGAUUUUAAUUCAGAGUAAACAACUUUGAAGAAAAGCAGUUACUGAGUGCUACAGAUACAGAACAAAGUAUGCAGCCUGUCCCCAAUGCCUCAGGCUACCAGUUGCUGAUCAGCAGAAGGCUCACAGAUCAUCUCAUGGGCCUCCUUCAAGAGACUCUUCAGAUCCUCACA
This is a non-coding RNA of Peromyscus maniculatus bairdii (prairie deer mouse), 678 nucleotides long. Lineage: Eukaryota; Metazoa; Chordata; Mammalia; Rodentia; Cricetidae. The record is from RefSeq and is a predicted model, not a curated record.